RNAcentral lists this transfer RNA (63 nucleotides) under Enchytraeus irregularis. RNAcentral describes it as "tRNA-Gly". Lineage: Eukaryota; Metazoa; Annelida; Clitellata; Enchytraeida; Enchytraeidae. The record is from RNAcentral.
ACGAAUUUAGUAUAAUAAGUACACUUACCUUCCAAGUAAAUAGUUUUAACCUAAAAAUUCGUA